Molecule: ribosomal RNA, 514 nt
Filed under: uncultured Streptococcus sp.
Lineage: Bacteria; Bacillati; Bacillota; Bacilli; Lactobacillales; Streptococcaceae
Description: bacterial SSU rRNA
Rfam family: Bacterial small subunit ribosomal RNA
Source: RNAcentral
GACGAACGCUGGCGGCGUGCCUAAUACAUGCAAGUAGAACGCUGAAGAGAGGAGCUUGCUCUUCUUGGAUGAGUUGCGAACGGGUGAGUAACGCGUAGGUAACCUGCCUUGUAGCGGGGGAUAACUAUUGGAAACGAUAGCUAAUACCGCAUAACAAUGGAUGACACAUGUCAUUUAUUUGAAAGGGGCAAUUGCUCCACUACAAGAUGGACCUGCGUUGUAUUAGCUAGUAGGUGAGGUAACGGCUCACCUAGGCGACGAUACAUAGCCGACCUGAGAGGGUGAUCGGCCACACUGGGACUGAGACACGGCCCAGACUCCUACGGGAGGCAGCAGUAGGGAAUCUUCGGCAAUGGGGGCAACCCUGACCGAGCAACGCCGCGUGAGUGAAGAAGGUUUACGGAUCGUAAAGCUCUGUUGUAAGUCAAGAACGAGUGUGAGAGUGGAAAGUUCACACUGUGACGGUAGCUUACCAGAAAGGGACGGCUAACUACGUGCCAGCAGCCGCGGUAAU